RNAcentral lists this long non-coding RNA (667 nucleotides) under Homo sapiens (human). RNAcentral describes it as "HSALNT0402573". The record is from RNAcentral. Lineage: Eukaryota; Metazoa; Chordata; Mammalia; Primates; Hominidae.
AGCUCUGGGCAUUCCGGAGGGACUUCAGAGUCACAGAGAGCCUUGGACUUCGUACUCAAACAAACCAACUCUGAAAAGACAGGAGACAACCAGGGAAAUUUCAACACUGCUAGCAGAUUAUCACAAAGAAUUCAAGGGUCGUGUUUUAGGUGUGAUAACGGUAGCACAGUUAUUUUUUUUGGAAGAGUCCCUAUUCUGUACAGCCACGCACUGAGGCAAGAGCACAAGGAAACAAGCAGAAGGAAUUCAGAGAAACAGCUCCAGGCUCCAGCUCAAAGGCCGACACCAAAAGCGAACACCUCUGGGCGCUCUUGCCUUCAAGAAGGUGGGGAGGCUCACAGACGCAGCAUCCACCCCUCGCAGGGAACCUCAGUUCCUGGCCUGUGGUCCCAUGAAGGACAUCAGGCUGGCAGAUUGGAGCACACCCCUUCUUUCUAACCCCUCUUGAAAGCUUCCUUGAAUCUGCCAGUCCUGCCCCCUGGAGCAGGAAGGAAAACAGAAGGCCUAGGACGCUAGAGGGGUCCCGAGCUUUCCGGAGCUCCAGCCACCAUCAGGUCUGACUGCUCAGGGACAGACACACCGACCACAUCCUGACCUCAGGAUGACCUGCGGAAGUACUUGGCAUUUCUUCUUAGCCAAAUCCCUUCAUUAAAAGACGGGUGAGGGU